Molecule: ribosomal RNA, 255 nt
Filed under: uncultured soil bacterium
Lineage: Bacteria
Description: partial 16S ribosomal RNA
Rfam family: Bacterial small subunit ribosomal RNA
Source: RNAcentral
AGGACGAACGCUGGCGGCGUGCUUAACACAUGCAAGUCGAGCGGUAAGGCCUUUCGGGGUACACGAGCGGCGAACGGGUGAGUAACACGUGGGUGAUCUGCCCUGCACUCUGGGAUAAGCCUGGGAAACUGGGUCUAAUACCGGAUAUGACCUGCUCUCGCACGGGGGUGGGUGGAAAGAUUUAUCGGUGCAGGAUGGGCCCGCGGCCUAUCAGCUUGUUGGUGGGGUAAUGGCCUACCAAGGCGACGACGGGUA